RNAcentral lists this ribosomal RNA (253 nucleotides) under uncultured bacterium. RNAcentral describes it as "partial 16S ribosomal RNA". It matches the Rfam family "Bacterial small subunit ribosomal RNA", at positions 524 to 776 of the family's 1533-position model. The record is from RNAcentral.
UACAGAGGGGGCAAGCGUUGUUCGGAAUUACUGGGCGUAAAGGGCGCGUAGGCGGCCCGCUAAGUCGAACGUGAAAUCCCUCGGCUUAACCGGGGAACUGCAUCUGAUACUGGAUGGCUUGAGUUCGGGAGAGGGAUGCGGAAUUCCAGGUGUAGCGGUGAAAUGCGUAGAUAUCGGGAAGAACACCCGUGGCGAAGGCGGCUCUCUGGGACGGUACUGACGCUGAGACGCGAAAGCGUGGGGAGCGAACAGG